CUUGUAAGAGCCCAGCACAGCACAGAUUUACAAAAUGAUACACAAAGACCUCAGAGAGUCUUGCUUUGUUGUCCAGGCUGGAAUGCAGUGGCUCAAUUUCGGUUUACUGCAACCUGCACCUCCCAGACUCAAGUGAUUCUCCUGCUUCAGCCUCCCAAGUAGCUGGGAUUACAGUGGUACAUCCUGUAGUUGAGGGCUUCUUAAACCUGAUGAAAUACCAUAGGUUCUACAUGUCAGAUGGAGUCUCACUCUGUCACCCAGGCUGUAGUCCAGUGGCAUGAUCCCGGCUCACUACAACCUCCGCUUCCUGGGUUCAAGCAAUUCUCCUGCUUGUGAUUUCCUCCAUUUGGAUUAGAUAAGACAGUGCUGCAAUAGGACUUUUUUGGGCCUAGAACGAGAAAAAAAGGAGUGCAUUCUCAACAAGGAAGCCCAUUUCAGGUAAAAACAUGAAACAGUAAAAUACUUCCGUAGCUGGGCAGAAGACAGAAGAAUAAUGUCUUAACAGGGCUGCAGUAGGAUACAAUGAGUUUAUAUCUAGCAUAACCUUUCAUUUAGCAUUUUAUAGUUAUGAUAUCAUAACUAAAAUUAACUUUCCUGAGACAAGGUUCAGUUUCAUGUAGAAAUGAGCAAUUAAAAAAUAAAGAUGUAUUUAUUCC
This 656-nucleotide non-coding RNA is filed under the name Pongo abelii (Sumatran orangutan). Lineage: Eukaryota; Metazoa; Chordata; Mammalia; Primates; Hominidae. The record is from RNAcentral.